UUGAUAGAAACAUGGAUCAUGAAGUGGGCCUUGACUUUAGGCCCAAACCUAAGAUAUGGAGAGCAUGGCUAUAUAAGUUGUUCCAUAGAGAGAAAAUAAAUCAUCGAAGGAUUUUGUUUGAAAGAAUGGGUCACCAUCUUGGUGAUUGGGGGAGCCUUUGAGCUCUUGGGGCUGAUAGCUAUUGUUAUCAGUUUGUUUUCUUUUCCUUUACUUUUUCUCUUGUAAUUGUUCAUCCAUUCUAAUACAAUUAGAGUAUUUUCAUUUCAAUUCCAUUCAUAUUACUGUUUUCAUUCAUAUAUUUCAUACACGAACCCAUCAAUUGGUCCGACCUACCGGAUC
RNAcentral lists this long non-coding RNA (339 nucleotides) under Trifolium pratense (red clover). RNAcentral's name for it is "long non-coding RNA (TPRA_LNC005627)". The record is from RNAcentral. Lineage: Eukaryota; Viridiplantae; Streptophyta; Magnoliopsida; Fabales; Fabaceae.